RNAcentral lists this ribosomal RNA (684 nucleotides) under uncultured bacterium. RNAcentral's name for it is "bacterial SSU rRNA". It matches the Rfam family "Bacterial small subunit ribosomal RNA", at positions 195 to 882 of the family's 1533-position model. The record is from RNAcentral.
ACAUGAUUAAAGGUAUUCCGGUAGACGAUGGGGAUGCGUUCCAUUAGAUAGUAGGCGGGGUAACGGCCCACCUAGUCUUCGAUGGAUAGGGGUUCUGAGAGGAAGGUCCCCCACAUUGGAACUGAGACACGGUCCAAACUCCUACGGGAGGCAGCAGUGAGGAAUAUUGGUCAAUGGGCGAGAGCCUGAACCAGCCAAGUAGCGUGAAGGAUGACUGCCCUAUGGGUUGUAAACUUCUUUUAUAAAGGAAUAAAGUCGGGUAUGGAUACCCGUUUGCAUGUACUUUAUGAAUAAGGAUCGGCUAACUCCGUGCCAGCAGCCGCGGUAAUACGGAGGAUCCGAGCGUUAUCCGGAUUUAUUGGGUUUAAAGGGAGCGUAGAUGGAUGUUUAAGUCAGUUGUGAAAGUUUGCGGCUCAACCGUAAAAUUGCAGUUGAUACUGGAUAUCUUGAGUGCAGUUGAGGCAGGCGGAAUUCGUGGUGUAGCGGUGAAAUGCUUAGAUAUCACGAAGAACUCCGAUUGCGAAGGCAGCCUGCUAAGCUGCAACUGACAUUGAGGCUCGAAAGUGUGGGUAUCAAACAGGAUUAGAUACCCUGGUAGUCCACACGGUAAACGAUGAAUACUCGCUGUUUGCGAUAUACUGCAAGCGGCCAAGCGAAAGCGUUAAGUAUUCCACCUGGGGAGUA